AUUGAACGCUGGCGGCAGGCCUAACACAUGCAAGUCGAGCGGAUGAAGGGAGCUUGCUCCUGGAUUCAGCGGCGGACGGGUGAGUAAUGCCUAGGAAUCUGCCUGGUAGUGGGGGAUAACGUCCGGAAACGGGCGCUAAAACCGCAUACGUCCUGAGGGAGAAAGUGGGGGAUCUUCGGACCUCACGCUAUCAGAUGAGCCUAGGUCGGAUUAGCUAGUUGGUGGGGUAAAGGCCUACCAAGGCGACGAUCCGUAACUGGUCUGAGAGGAUGAUCAGUCACACUGGAACUGAGACACGGUCCAGACUCCUACGGGAGGCAGCAGUGGGGAAUAUUGGACAAUGGGCGAGAGCCUGAUCCAGCCAUGCCGCGUGUGUGAAGAAGGUCUUCGGAUUGUAAAGCACUUUAAGUUGGGAGGAAGGGCAGUAAGUUAAUACCUUGCUGUUUUGACGUUACCAACAGAAUAAGCACCGGCUAACUUCGUG
Molecule: ribosomal RNA, 484 nt
Filed under: uncultured bacterium
Lineage: Bacteria
Description: partial 16S ribosomal RNA
Rfam family: Bacterial small subunit ribosomal RNA
Source: RNAcentral